This is an RNA transcript of Mesoplodon densirostris (Blainville's beaked whale), 4845 nucleotides long. It is a transcript of the gene named glutamyl-tRNA synthetase 2, mitochondrial, with no coding region annotated. The record is from RefSeq and is a predicted model, not a curated record. The transcript has 10 exons. Lineage: Eukaryota; Metazoa; Chordata; Mammalia; Artiodactyla; Ziphiidae.
CGGAGAAGCCCACGUGUAGGGUUCCACUCCACAUGGCUGUGCUCCUGAAGACGUUGGUGCAUCCCCGGAGGCCCCCGGCGGCCUUGGGUCGUCCCCUGGGACGGCGCGAGGCCAGCCUGGGCACUCAUGCCGGGGCUGCGGUGCGAGUGCGGUUCGCCCCCAGCCCCACAGGCUUCUUGCACCUGGGCGGCCUCCGCACUGCCUUGUACAACUACAUCUUUGCCAAGAAGCACGGAGGGAGCUUCAUCCUGAGGCUGGAGGACACGGAUCAGACCCGCCUUGUGCCUGGGGCGGUGGAGAAUAUAGAGGACAUGCUGGAGUGGGCAGGCAUCCCCCCUGACGAGAGCCCCCGCCGGGGAGGUCCUGCAGGGCCCUACCUCCAGUCUCAGCGACUUGCGCUCUACGCCCAGGCCACCGAAGCUCUGCUGAAGAGCGGCGCUGCGUACCCGUGUUUCUGCUCACCCCAGCGGCUGGAACUCCUGAAGAGGGAGGCCCUAAGGAACCGCCAGACACCCCGGUAUGACAAUCGGUGCCGGAGCCUGAGCGAGGCGCAGGUGGCCCAGAAGCUGGCCAAAGACCCCAAGCCUGCCAUCCGCUUCCACCUGGAGGGGGAGGCGCCAGCCUUCCAGGACUUGGUGUAUGGCUGGAAUCGGCAUGAGGUGGCCAGUGUGGAGGGGGACCCAGUCAUCCUGAAGAGCGACGGCUUCCCCACCUACCACCUGGCCUGCGUGGUGGACGACCACCACAUGGGCAUCAGCCACGUGCUGCGGGGCUCCGAGUGGCUGGUCUCCACCUCCAAGCAUCUGCUCCUCUACCAGGCCCUGGGCUGGCAGCCCCCGCACUUUGCCCACCUGCCCCUGCUCCUCAACAGGGAUGGCAGCAAGCUGUCCAAGAGGCAAGGGGACAUCUUCCUGGAGCAUUUUGCUGCCGCCGGCUUCCUGCCGGAUGCCUUGCUCGAUAUCAUCACCAACUGCGGCUCAGGGUUUGCAGAGAACCGGAUGGGCAGGACCUUGCCAGAGCUGAUCACACAGUUUGACCUGACCCGGGUCACCUGCCACUCGGCCCUGCUGGACCUGGAGAAGCUCCCAGAAUUCAACAGGCUGCACCUCUGCCGGCUGGUGAGCGAUGAGACCCAGAGACGCCAGCUGGUGGGGAAGCUGCAGGCUCUCGUGGAGGAGGCAUUCGGGAGCCAGCUGCAAGACAGGCAUGUGCUGGACGCAGCCUAUGUGGAGAGGAUCAUCCUGCUGAGACAGGGCCACAUUUGCCGCCUGCAGGAUUUGAUCUCCCCAGCGUACUCCUACCUGUGGACUCGCCCUGCUGUGGGUCGAGCGCAGCUGGGCGCCGUCUCGGAGAAGGUGGACAUCAUUGCCAAGCGUGUGCUGGGGCUUUUAGAAGGACCCGGUAUGAGUUUAACUCAGGACAUGCUGAACAGAGAACUGAAGAAGCUGUCAGAAGGUCUGGAAGGCACCAAACACAGUAACGUGAUGAAGCUCCUCCGAGUGGCCCUCAGUGGACAGCUGCAAGGACCUCCUGUAGCUGAGAUGAUGUUGUCCUUGGGACCAAAGGAAGUGCGGGAACGAAUACAGAAGGUGCUUUCCAGCUAGAGAGAAGGUGUGCAGGACAGCAGAGGUGGCCACAGGAACUGUACUCGUGGGACCUGCCCUCAGAGGGGAGGAGCAGGAGGCUUGGGGCCCAUCGGAAGCUUGUGGAAGGAACCAAGAAUGGACACAGAGCCUCUGGGUGCACAGUUCUCCAGACCUGGUCCUUGGACUGGAGACCUCUACGCUGCCUGUUUUGCAUCUUUUUCUUCAUAUUCGCCUCCUUCUUCCACCCAUCAUUUGUAAAUCACCGUCUGUGGGUUUCUGAAAUGAGAUGUUCUUCUUGGGGUGAAUAGGAAUAGCUGAAGUGAAAGGAGGAUGGUGGCUGGCUACAAAGACGCCUACACGGCUUCUGGGCUUCCCCUUUGUAGCCCCCAGUCGUCGCUGCCUCCUGGCGCUCACACUGAAGAGGGCUGACUUCUGUGUGGUGUGUCAUGGCUUCCAUGUUGUUCUCUUGGAUCCCUUACUCUGGGGGAAGCCAGCUUCCACACCGUGAAGACAGACAGACAAGGAUGGGAGGCCUUUUGACAACAUCAGUAUGAAUGGGCCAUCUUGGAAGUCAGUCUUCCAGCCCCAGUCAAGCCUUCAGAUGACUGCAAUGCUGGCUGAUGUUUGACUGCAGCGUUCUUUUUUUUUUUUUUUUUUUAAUUGGAGUAUAGUUGCUUUACAAUGUUGUGUUUGUUUCUGCUGUACAGCAAAGUGAAUCAGCCACACGUAUACAUAUAUUCCCCUCUUCCUUGGAUUUCCUUCCCAUUUAGGUCACCACAGAGCAUUGAGUAGAGUUCCCUGUACUAUACAGUAGGUUCUCGUUAGUUAUCUGUUUUAUACAUACGUAGCAUAUAUGUGUCAAUCCCAAUCUCCCAAUCCAUCUCACCCCCUCUUCCCCCUUAGUAUCUAUACGUUUGUUCUCUAUAUCUCUGUCUCUGCUUUGCAAAUAAGUUCAUCUUAUAGCAUUUUUCUAGAUUCCACAUAUGUGUUAAUAUACAAUAUUUGUUUUUCUCUUAAUGACUUCACUCUGUAUGAAAGUCUCUAGGAACAUCCACGUCUCUGCAAAUGGCACAAUUUCGUUCCGUUCUAUGGCUGAGUAAUAUUCCAUUGUAUAUAUGUACCACAUCUUCUUUAGCCAUUCCUCUGUUGAUGGACAUUUAGGUUGCUUCCAUGUCCUGGCUACUGUAAAUAGUGCUGACUGCAGCCUUCUUGAAAGAUCCUGAGCCAGAACCACUAAGCAAAGUUGCUCCUGAAUUUCAGACACACAGUUAUGAGAUAAUAAAUAUUUAUUGUUUAAAGCCACUUAGCUCUGGGAUAAUUUGUUACCCAGCAAGAGAUUGCUAAUACACUGUCCUUGUCCAGGGGAAUAGGGAAAGGGGAUUAAAGAACUUGCUGAGUUUCACAGAGACCUAAUCCUUGCUUGAAAAGUACGUCAGAUAAAGUUCUUGGAUGGCAAGCAGUGGAAACCAGUUCUGCCUAACUUAGGUUUAUUGGAGACUUUAAGUUUAUGGGAAUUUAAAUUUGUGAGAAAGUCAUAGAAUCUAUGGGAAAGCCAAAGAACCAGGUCUUGGAAAAGACAGGAGCCGGGGAAGCUCUGAGCAUGCAGGCAGCAGGAGCUCAUGGCCAGUCUUGUCUGGGUUCUUCAGUGGGAACACAUGAACUCUUAACUAUUUUUUGUUGUGGUUUCUCUGUAUUAUUUCCCCUUCAGUUUUGGAUGAUUCAGCUAAAGAUUCAGAUUCUAAGAAGAGAGUGUCUGGUUGGGCUAACUGAGGUCAUGUUACCAUUCCUCAGCCAGGAAUAUAUCCAAUGGAGGAAAAGUUCCCAAGGAGAAGUAGGGUGCUUUUUCCAGAAGAAGGGGCAAUGGCAGGAACAACAGGUGUUGUGCCAAAAGGGACACAGAAUAAUAAUGCUUGCAAUUUAUUGUGCGUUCACAUGAGCCUCAACCACUUCUGGGUUUCAAAUUAUGCUUGUAGGGGACUUCCCUGGUGGUGCAGUGGCUAAGACUCCACACUCCCAAUGCAGGGGCCCUGGGUUUGACCCCUGGCCGGGGAACUAGAUCCUGCGUUCAUGCCGCAACUGAGAGUCUGUAUGCUGCAACUAAGACCCGGCGCAACCAAAAUAAAUAAAUAUAUUUUUUAAAAUUAUGCUGGUAAACACUUUAGUUCAUCAUCUCUUUAAACCUUCAUAACCCCAUGAGACAGGCAUUAUUAUUAUGGUUGUUGUUUCUGUGUUUUAGAUAGGGAGACUGAGGCUCAGAAAAGUUGAUCAGCUCUUCUGAGGUUUUAGUAUGAGGCUUACGACAACCCAGAGUCCAACCUCAACUCUUGUCACUCUGAGUGACAUCAGAGCCUCCGAUUCUAAGACAUUAAGUAUGCUUACAAGAAACUCUAGCUCUUGGUUAGGGAAUCUGACUGUUUUAACAAAAUGAGUGAUCAAAUUGCUGAGUCAAUAAAGCUGUGGCCACUUCCUCGGUUGGAGUGAGUUGUCUGAGAAGCAGCAUGUAUCCUCUGCUCUGGGGUUUUGCUCAGGAUCAGAAGGAAUGCACAGUUUAAAUAACCUCAAGUCCGUCCCCCAGUGUUUUUUCAGAGUAUAGUGAAGUGAAGGCCAUAGAGGCCAACUGUCUAGACUCAAAAACUGGUUCUGCCACUUAUUGUGUGACUUCUGUAGCUCAGUUUCCUCAUCUGUUAAAAUGGGGAUAACAGUUGUAUCUGUCUCAACAAAUUGUAAGAAUCAAAUUAGAUGACAUAUGUAAAGUUCUUAGAACAGUGCCUGCCACUCAACAAAUGUUAUCAGUUACCAUCAUCCUCAUCACCAGUAUUUUCAUCCUUAGAGAUGCGGAUCUUGGUUGCAACACAUAGAAACACGCUCAGGCUAACUUAAACCAUGAAAGUAAUUUACUGAAGAUUUAGGACCCACAGAUCCCAAGGGCAGGACUCCCAGCUGGGCCUUACAAGAGACUGGAAUCUGUACCCAAAAACCUAUUAGGACCCAACACACUCACCUUUAUCCCUCUGAAACUGCAGUUUCUAACCUUCGUCUCUGUCUGGGUGUCUGCUCCUCUCAUCUUUCUUCUGCAGGCUGGCUUUCUCUUAUCUCUGCAGCUGUUGAACAACUGCCCCAGCCCUAAAGCUGAAUCAUCUCCCCUCUACUACACUGCCAAUUCAAUAACUAGUAUUCCAUGUCCAAAAUCCCAGGAAAGAAUCUGAUUGGCCUAGCUUGGGUCAGCUGUCUACCCCUGGUGCAAUCAACUGUGGCCAGU